AGGUUCGACGCCUCUGCCAAGUACGAAUCACAAGAAGACUAUGCCAUUCUAUCAGGCGACGGUAAACAGGCGCGUCUUUACCAACUCGAGCAUCCAUACCAGGGCGAAGCCUACUACUUCGAGGAAGUGGCUGAUACGGAUGGCUAUACGGUCUUCAAGAUUUACGACACUGACGAAACCUGCACAAACGCCGAAGCCCUUCGCAACGAGGUCUGCCCUGAGCCAUGCGACUUGGAAUACGUACGUUGAAGAUUCCGCACACACAAUAACAAGUAUAACAACGAAAAUUAA
Dermacentor silvarum is the source of this 291-nucleotide long non-coding RNA. RefSeq lists it as uncharacterized. The transcript is spliced from 3 exons. The record is from RefSeq and is a predicted model, not a curated record. NCBI's taxonomy places the organism in Eukaryota, Metazoa, Arthropoda, Arachnida, Ixodida, Ixodidae.